Molecule: small RNA, 568 nt
Filed under: Pan troglodytes (chimpanzee)
Lineage: Eukaryota; Metazoa; Chordata; Mammalia; Primates; Hominidae
Description: processed transcript
Source: RNAcentral
AAGUUGUGUGCAGGUGCUGAGUGGCCUCCCUCACAGGCUGGGACUGGGCCUCUGGAGCAGAAUACAAGUCACUUGAUGAUUGUGAGGAGCUGGUGAUCAAUGCUACAGCGACAAUCAACAAUUUAUCUUACUACCAAGUGAAGAAUUCCAUAAUUCAAGACAAAAAGCUAUAUAUUGCUGAAUUGCUCUUAAAGCUUCUUGUCAGUAACAAUAUGGAUGGAAUCCUGGAGGCUGUGCGUGUUUUCGGAAAUCUCUCCCAGGACCAUGAUGUCUGCGAUUUCAUUGUGCAGAACAAUGUCCACAGGUUCAUGAUGGCGCUGCUGGAUGCUCAGCAUCAGGAUAUCUGCUUUUCUGCCUGUGGUGUUCUCCUCAAUCUCACUGUGGAUAAAGACAAGCGUGUCAUCUUGAAAGAAGGAGGUGGCAUUAAAAAGUUAGUGGACUGUUUAAGAGAUUUGGGUCCUACUGAUUGGCAGCUGGCCUGCUUGGUUUGUAAAACUUUAUGGAACUUCAGUGAAAACAUCACUAAUGCUUCGUCAUGUUUUGGAAAUGAAGACACCAACACACUCUU